This 515-nucleotide ribosomal RNA is filed under the name uncultured bacterium. RNAcentral describes it as "partial 16S ribosomal RNA". It matches the Rfam family "Bacterial small subunit ribosomal RNA", at positions 28 to 523 of the family's 1533-position model. The record is from RNAcentral.
GAUGAACGCUGGCGGCGUGCCUAAUACAUGCAAGUCGAGCGAAUGGAUUAAGAGCUUGCUCUUAUGAAGUUAGCGGCGGACGGGUGAGUAACACGUGGGUAACCUGCCCAUAAGACUGGGAUAACUCCGGGAAACCGGGGCUAAUACCGGAUAACAUUUUGAACCGCAUGGUUCGAAAUUGAAAGGCGGCUUCGGCUGUCACUUAUGGAUGGACCCGCGUCGCAUUAGCCAGUUGGUGAGGUAACGGCUCACCAAGGCAACGAUGCGUAGCCGAACUGAGAGGGUGAUCGGCCACACUGGGACUGAGACACGGCCCUGACUCCUACGGGAGGCAGCAGUAGGGAAUCUUCCGCGAUGGACGAAAGUCUGACGGAGCAACGCCGCGUGAGUGAUGAAGGCUUUCGGGUCGUAAAACUCUGUUGUUAGGGAAGAACAAGUGCUAGUUGAAUAAGCUGGCACCUUGACGGUACCUAACCAGAAAGCCACGGCUAACUACGUGCCAGCCGCCGCAGUAA